RNAcentral lists this transfer RNA (104 nucleotides) under Candidatus Woesearchaeota archaeon. RNAcentral's name for it is "tRNA-Trp". It matches the Rfam family "tRNA". Rfam says of the family: Transfer RNA (tRNA) molecules are approximately 80 nucleotides in length. Their secondary structure includes four short double-helical elements and three loops (D, anti-codon, and T loops). Further hydrogen bonds mediate the characteristic L-shaped molecular structure. tRNAs have two regions of fundamental functional importance: the anti-codon, which is responsible for specific mRNA codon recognition, and the 3' end, to which the tRNAs corresponding amino acid is attached (by aminoacyl-tRNA synthetases). tRNAs cope with the degeneracy of the genetic code in two manners: having more than one tRNA (with a specific anti-codon) for a particular amino acid; and 'wobble' base-pairing, i.e. permitting non-standard base-pairing at the 3rd anti-codon position. The record is from RNAcentral. Lineage: Archaea; Nanobdellati; Candidatus Woesearchaeota.
GGGGACGUCGUAUAACCUGGCUAUUAUCGCCGGCUCCAGACCGGCUGAUCUUUUGCAAGAAAUUGCAUAGAGCCGAAAUCGGGGUUCAAAUCCUCGCGUCCCCA